CCACUGCUGAGGAGUCCCAUACUGGGACGAAACAGCUGUUCAGUGC
This 46-nucleotide non-coding RNA is filed under the name Schistosoma margrebowiei. Lineage: Eukaryota; Metazoa; Platyhelminthes; Trematoda; Strigeidida; Schistosomatidae. The record is from RNAcentral.